Molecule: ribosomal RNA, 1895 nt
Filed under: Triticum aestivum (bread wheat)
Lineage: Eukaryota; Viridiplantae; Streptophyta; Magnoliopsida; Poales; Poaceae
Description: partial small subunit ribosomal RNA
Source: RNAcentral
UUGGCGGCCGUAAAAUGUGGACACGUCGCACGGGGAAGGGCGGAGUACCGGUUGCCGCUGGCGGAGCGGCCUCGUGGCAGGGGCGGCGGGUACGGCGGCGGCGACGGGGGCAGUGAUUCGUCCGACAGCUUAGCCGGUGGCAGCCUCUUGGUGGACCGUUAGAGGCACGGCGACGAGAGCGAGCGGCCGAGGCGGCGGCUACGUCUGCGCGGCGACCGCGCCACCGAGGCCGCCGAGCUCCGCAAGGAGCGCCACAGCCCGGAGAGACGGAGCUGGGGAGAGCCGCACCGGAAGCGCCGCAGGCGCGACCGCCACCACCCGCAUCGCGACGGGCGCCACCGGCACUCGGAGAGGGGCACGGCAUUCGUGCUCGCCCAGACGCUGCUGAAGCUCCAACUCUACAAGCUCCACACGCAGUACUACAGCGUCCGCCGCCGCCGCCGGCAGCGGCAGCGGACGCACAGCUCCUUCUACCGGUACAUGCCGGAGGCGUUCAAGGAGAAGCAACUGGGCCUAGAACCGUACGCCUAGGCGAAGGUCUUCCUCAUGCAGCAGUCCUAGGUCCUGAAGAAGGCUUGUGAAUACACCACCUAUAACGGUACGGAACGACACUUCCAGUGGGCUCUCUACAAGGCGAAAAGGGUGUACAAGGUAGUCAGUUAAACCUCCAGUACGUAACACGAUAAACGAAGGUAGUACAGUACCUACAUAAACUGCUGUUAACACAACAGAAGGACGUACGAAAAGUUGAACCAAACGUUAGAUGUUCAAUAUGUGAAACUACUAAUGCCGUUUCAAGAUCUCGUUCUGCGCCUAGGAGAUCAGAUAGACUUUCUCGUGGACGUUGAGGCGGUAUUAGAGAGGUUUUAGUCAGUGUCCAAGGCGUACAAGGAAAACGACGAGAAGAAAAGACAAUGUCGUUCGGUCAAGCGGUAAGAAAUGUUCUGUUGUCGUAUGUUGCCCGGUUAGUUAAAGUGAUUACCACCACUAUAUCGACAUAGAAGUCAACAAGUUCAACAUCCGGAACAGGAAACAAAUGUGCCUCGACGAUUUUAAAGAGUGUCUCGAGUUUUGUAACGGCGUUAUCGAUCAGCUACCGUACGAAAUCGCUGUACGAGAUCACUAAGAUGUAUACAUUCGUGGGGCUUACUAAGACCCUUGGAUCACGGGAAAGGUCGUGUAUACAAAAACUCUCUAACGAGCCUUUCACUGAACCUCAGAUACCUUUCACCGAGUUACGUUCCGUUAAGAGUAUUGUGUCGAGUUGACCGUAGAAUGUACAGAAGUAUGGUGUUCUCUCUUAGCGAACACGAGAUAGACGAUUGGUUGGGACCCCCGUAGUGCGAUAUGCCAACCUAACAGCUGGCCUGUAAGGAGUUGUGCUAGGACUACGAGCUCGAUUGGGAACACGACAAGCACGAGUCGUUCUGGUAACACUAGGGUCGCUUUUGCGAUCAGUUGUCAAUGUACUCAAAGGGCACUUACCUCAAACCGCGUUCGAAAUUGUAAGGCUAAAACCAAACUUCUCGCACUGUGGGUCUGUGCAUCAUCCCAAACAUGUGGUGUAACCGCUUCUGACCACGGCUGUAGCCGUUUCAACUAGGAACUUCUGAUUUUACUUGGGCCUAGACUCUUCGUUCCAACCACAAAGAACUACAGGGACAAACCUCCAACUAGAAACCCCCGUUACAGAGAACUUGCGUUCUAAGACCGAUUGCGCUUCGUACGUUAACAAUCUGUAUCCAAGGGAAACUAGUGACCUGACAUACGUCCUACAACCCGAGCCAACACAACACAUGUCAAAAACCUGGUUUCGGUCGUAGUAUACCGACACGUAUACAUGUACACGAGAACAUAAUGGUGAACUAUAGAUGCUCCUACUUCAAAACAGUUAC